RNAcentral lists this long non-coding RNA (1057 nucleotides) under Pongo abelii (Sumatran orangutan). RNAcentral describes it as "lincRNA". Lineage: Eukaryota; Metazoa; Chordata; Mammalia; Primates; Hominidae. The record is from RNAcentral.
ACUUACUGAUGUAGUUGGUUAACAUUUUGGCUUAAGCUCCUUAUCUUGUCAUGGACAGGUAGCAAAUACUCUGGACUGACAGAGGUCGACAAACUAUGCUUUGAGUGGCACUGUUCUGCAGCACAGUGGUUUUACCCAUAAGAUCAUUCAAUUAUAGAAUUUUAGAACUGAAAGAUGUCUUAGACACCAUCUAGUCCAAGUUCCUGGUUUCACAGCCGAGGAUCCUUAGAACCUGAAAGUUUUAGCAAACUUACCAAAGCCACUUAGUGGUUGUGAUGCAAUAUGAAGUAGAGGCCAAUUGUCCUGACUCUUUCCGAUCACCACCGUGCCCUGAAAUUCCUGAAGGAAGCAGAAUUUCCUCUGAGGUUCCUGCUGAGUCAUAUGCAGGCUCCAUCUGAUGUAGAGAUUCAGUAGAAGGGGCCAGGUUGCCUCCUGAUGGGGGCAGCGUGUGGAGGAUGAGCCUGGGCUUACAUGGCAGACAGAUCUGGUCAUGUUCCAGCUCUAUCUCCUACUUGCAGAAUGUCUCCGGGAAAAUUACUUACAUUCUCAAAGCCUCAGAUUCUUGCUUUGUCAACAUUCCUUGAAGAUUGCUGUGAGGAUGAGAUAUGCUAAACUGAAGACUCUGGUGUUCCCUUUUGUGGCAGGGAGAAUAACAGCCCCGCAAAGAUAUCUACAUCCUAAUCCUUGGAACCUGUGACUAUGUUACGUCACAUGGCAAUGGGAGACUUGAGGUUCCAGACUGAAUUAAGGUUGAUAAUUAGCUGACUUUGAGAUGGGGAGACUAUCUGGGAUCAUCCGGGUGGGUCCAAUGUCAUCACAAUGUUCCUUAUAAGAGAGAGGCAGGAGAGAAACAAUCAGACGGCAGCAUGAGGAAGGCUCAGCCUGACAUUGCUGGCUUAGAAGAUGGAGGAGUGAGGCCAUGAGCCAAGGAAUGCAGGAAGCCUCUAGAAGCUGGAACACAUCCCUACUGACACCUGGACUUGCACCUAGUGAAACCCAUUUCAGACUUCAGACCCCCAGAACUGUGCAGUAAUAAAGCUGUGUUGUUUUAAGCCAC